CCUACGGGAGGCAGCAGUGGGGGAUAUUGCACAAUGGGGGAAACCCUGAUGCAGCGACGCCGCGUGAGGGAAGACGGUUUUCGGAUUGUAAACCUCUGUCUUUGGGGACGAAUUGAGACGGUACCCAAGGAGGAAGCUCCGGCUAACUACGUGCCAGCAGCCGCGGUAAUACGUAGGGAGCAAGCGUUGUCCGGAAUUACUGGGUGUAAAGGGAGCGUAGGCGGGAUAGUAAGUUGAUUGUUAAAACUAUCGGCUCAACUGGUAGAUGCGAUCAAAACUGCAAUUCUUGAGUGAAGUAGAGGCAGGCGGAAUUCCUAGUGUAGCGGUGAAAUGCGUAGAUAUUAGGAGGAACACCAGUGGCGAAGGCGGCCUGCUGGGCUUUAACUGACGCUGAGGCUCGAAAGUGUGGGUAGCAAACAGGAUUAGAUACCCGAGUAGUC
This 440-nucleotide ribosomal RNA is filed under the name uncultured bacterium. RNAcentral describes it as "partial 16S ribosomal RNA". It matches the Rfam family "Bacterial small subunit ribosomal RNA", at positions 338 to 795 of the family's 1533-position model. The record is from RNAcentral.